GGACCAAGGAGUCUAGCAUGUGCGCGAGUCAUUGGGACUUGCUAAACCUAAAGGCGCAAUGAAAGUGAAGGCCGCCUUGCGCGUGCCGAGGGAGGAUGGGUCGAUGUAUUUUAUACUCGGCUCCGCACUCCCGGGGCGUCUCGUUCUCCUUCGCGAGUUGAGGCGCACCCAGAGCGUACACGCUGGGACCC
RNAcentral lists this ribosomal RNA (191 nucleotides) under Osorius sp. 2 BT-2011. RNAcentral describes it as "partial 28S ribosomal RNA". It matches the Rfam family "Eukaryotic large subunit ribosomal RNA", at positions 663 to 817 of the family's 3401-position model. The record is from RNAcentral. Lineage: Eukaryota; Metazoa; Arthropoda; Insecta; Coleoptera; Staphylinidae.